GACGAAUGCUGGCGGUGUGCUUAACACAUGCAAGUCGAACGGUAAGGCCCUUUCGGGGGUACACGAGUGGCGCACGGGUGCGUAACACGUGAGUAACCUGCCCUCCUCUCUGGGAUAACAGUCGGAAACGGUUGCUAAUACUGGAUAUGAGCUUGCAAGGCCUCUUGUGGGUUGGAAAGAUUUUUUUGGUUGGGGAUGGACUCGCGGCCUAUCAGCUUGUUGGUGAGGUAGUGGCUCACCAAGGCUUCGACGGGUAGCCGGCCUGAGAGGGCGACCGGCCACAGUGGGACUGAGACACGGCCCAGAGUCCUACGGGAGGCAGCAGUAGGGAAUCUUCGGCAAUGGACGGAAGUCUGACCGAGCAACGCCGCGUGAGUGAAGAAGGUUUUCGGAUCGUAAAGCUCUGUUGUAAGAGAAGAACGAGUGUGAGAGUGGAAAGUUCAGACUGUGACGGUAUCUUACCAGAAAGGGACGGCUAACUACGUG
Molecule: ribosomal RNA, 486 nt
Filed under: uncultured bacterium
Lineage: Bacteria
Description: partial 16S ribosomal RNA
Rfam family: Bacterial small subunit ribosomal RNA
Source: RNAcentral